AUGCAUGCAUGCAUGUAAGCACGCGCACGCACGCACACAACAACAAAAGAAGUGAAUUGAAAGCUUUUAUGAAUUCGGUGAUCAUCUAGCUAAAUACUUGUUCAGUUUGUUGAGAAAUAACCUUAUAAAUAUUUUAUAUAACGUAUGCUUGACUAUCUUUGCCAUUUUUGCUUGCUAUUGAUGCAGAGGGUGCAAAAGAGACUGGCUGUUUUUAACAGGCGUGUAAAAAGAAGUUGCUCUUGCAAGUGCUUGCUCCUGUCGGUGGGCGCUAUUGUGAUUCUAGCUGCUAUAGCUUUCAUUCUUAUCAAGUACUUGUAAAAGUUUCCCUGGCAAUUUUCUUGCCAGUCACUCUUGUUUUGGUCUGAGUCUGCUCACCAAUCUGUAGCAUUCCAGGACACUGUCAUUUGUUAUGCUGGCAAUUGUUUUGUUUCCAGGAAUUGCGCUUCACUUUACGUGUAUGUUUGAUUGCAAGACAAAAAUUUUUGUUUGUGGAGUCAUCCUUCCCCUCUUAAUUGCUAGUUUCUAACCAUUAAAAAUUUUCAUUAUUUUCUUUCAGACAAUUUUUUGUUAUAUUACACUGAGCAUACCCAAUAAUCCAAAUUCUGAAUAGUCUGUCUUUGGCAACAUUUUUAUGCGACAAUAAUUCUGCAAGGACCUG
Molecule: long non-coding RNA, 658 nt
Filed under: Phoenix dactylifera (date palm)
Lineage: Eukaryota; Viridiplantae; Streptophyta; Magnoliopsida; Arecales; Arecaceae
Description: long non-coding RNA (PDAC_LNC019871)
Source: RNAcentral